CGCGGGGUGGAGCAGUUCGGUAGCUCGUCGGGCUCAUAACCCGAAGGUCGUUGGUUCAAAUCCAGCCCCCGCAA
This 74-nucleotide transfer RNA is filed under the name Clostridium sp. MD294. Its description in RNAcentral is "Clostridium sp. ASF356 tRNA". It matches the Rfam family "tRNA". Rfam says of the family: Transfer RNA (tRNA) molecules are approximately 80 nucleotides in length. RNAcentral also lists the same sequence under 2 other names. The record is from Rfam by way of RNAcentral. Lineage: Bacteria; Bacillati; Bacillota; Clostridia; Eubacteriales; Clostridiaceae.